RNAcentral lists this ribosomal RNA (503 nucleotides) under uncultured bacterium. RNAcentral describes it as "partial 16S ribosomal RNA". It matches the Rfam family "Bacterial small subunit ribosomal RNA", at positions 899 to 1397 of the family's 1533-position model. The record is from RNAcentral.
ACUCAAAUGAAUUGACGGGGGCCCGCACAAGCGGUGGAGCAUGUGGUUUAAUUCGACGCAACGCGAAGAACCUUACCUGGGCUUGACAUCUGGGGGAUCCCUCAGAAAUGAGGGAGUGCCUAGCAAUAGGAGCCCCAAGACAGGUGCUGCAUGGCUGUCGUCAGCUCGUGUCGUGAGAUGUUGGGUUAAGUCCCGCAACGAGCGCAACCCUCGCCCUUAUUUGCCAACGGGUCAUGCCGGGAACUAUAAGGGAACUGCCAGCGAUAAGUUGGAGGAAGGUGAGGAUGACGUCAAGUCCUCAUGGCCUUUAUGCCCAGGGCUACACACGUGCUACAAUGGCCGACACAAAGGGCUGCGAAACCGCAAGUUGGAGCAAAUCCCAUAAAAUCGGUCACAGUUCGGAUUGGAGUCUGCAACUCGACUCCAUGAAGCUGGAAUCGCUAGUAAUCGUGGAUCAGCAUGCCACGGUGAAUACGUUCCCGGGCCUUGUACACACCGCCCGU